RNAcentral lists this ribosomal RNA (468 nucleotides) under uncultured bacterium. RNAcentral's name for it is "partial 16S ribosomal RNA". It matches the Rfam family "Bacterial small subunit ribosomal RNA", at positions 28 to 507 of the family's 1533-position model. The record is from RNAcentral.
GACGAACGCUGGCGGCGUGCUUAACACAUGCAAGUCGAACGGAAAGGCCCUGCUUUUGCGGGGUGCUCGAGUGGCGAACGGGUGAGUAACACGUGAGUAUCCUGCCCUUGACUGUGGGAUAACUUCAGGAGACUGGGGCUAAUACCGGAUAGGAGCUCCUGCUGCAUGGGGGGGGUUGGAAAGUUUCGGCGGUUGGGGAUGGACGUGGGGUUUACUAGCUGGUUGGGGGGGGAGUGGCUUACCAAGGGUUUGACGGGUAGUCCGCCUGGGUGGGGGGCCGGGGACCAGGGGACUGAGGGAGGGCCCAGACGGGAACGGUGGGCAACAGUGGGAAAUAUUGCACAGUGAGGCGGAGCGUGAGACGAAGGUGCCGGGAGCGGGAUGACGGCCUACGGGUUGUGAACCGCUGUCGCCUGUGACGAAGCGUGAGUGACGGUAAUGGGUAAAGAAGCACCGGCUAACUACGUG